Salvia hispanica is the source of this 1674-nucleotide non-coding RNA. NCBI's taxonomy places the organism in Eukaryota, Viridiplantae, Streptophyta, Magnoliopsida, Lamiales, Lamiaceae. The record is from RefSeq and is a predicted model, not a curated record.
CUUAUAACUUAUAACCCUUACCCCUCUCUCUCUCUCCUCUCUCCUCUCUCCUCUCUCCUUCAAUUAAACUAGAUUGAUCAAUAUCACAUUUAUGCUGAUCGAUCAGCUGAAGAAUUUGGUCUCGAUUCAGUUUCAAAUUGUGGCUCAAAUCACAAUUACCAAUUUCUAGGUGAAGAAAUCGAGUUAAAGAGAGAAAGAGGGAUAAUCAAUCGCGGCAAAUGGAUCAAGUAGCUCACGGGCGCCCCCUCCCGCCGCCGUUCCACGCCCGAGAACUCCAGCUCCAGCACCAACAGUUCCAGCACGACGACGACAACAAGCAUUCCCUGAGCCUAAAGCGCGACCGCGACAACCCCGCCACCUCCGAAGGCAAAGACGCGGAGGUCUCCCGGCGGCCACGGGGGCGGCCGGCGGGGUCGAAGAACAAGCCGAAACCCCCCAUCAUCAUCACCCGCGACAGCGCCAACGCGCUCAGAUCCCACGUGAUGGAAAUCGCCAGCGGCUGCGACGUCCACGACAGCAUCUCCACCUUCGCCACGCGCCGCCAGAGGGGCGUGUGCAUCCUCAGCGGCACCGGCACCGUCACCAACGUCACCCUCCGCCAGCCCGCCGCGCCCACCUCCGUCCUCACCCUCCACGGCCGCUUCGAGAUCCUCUCCCUCUCCGGCUCCUUCCUCCCUCCCCCCGCCCCGCCCGCCGCCUCCUCCCUCGCCAUCUACCUCGCCGGCUCGCAGGGCCAGGUCGUCGGCGGCACCGUCGUCGGCCCCCUCCUCGCCUCCGGCCCCGUCGUCAUCAUGGCCGCCUCCUUCGGGAACGCCGCCUACGAGCGCCUCCCGCUCGAACAAGAGGAGGCGCCUGAAGGGCAGCAGCAGAUGAUGAGUGAUCCGAACGCGAAUCUGUUUCAAGGAAACCCUCAAAAUAUGGUGCAAAUGCCGCCGGCGGACGCGUUUUGGGCCACAGGGAUUAAUGCAGUCGCAGAUGCAGAUAAAAGUUUCCACCACCUCUAAACUGGUACAUAGUCAUAGCUGAGUAUGACCGCAAUUGUAAAGACAAAUAAAUGCAAGAAGGUGCAUGAUGCACAGUGAAAUGGUGGGAAGUUGAAAGGUGAGUUGCGGCAUUCACGAAUUUCUUCCCCAACUUGAUGCUUCUAUACUCUAUAGUGUUGCAGACACGGCAGUAAUAGAUUCAUUUAUGUCACACAUUGAUCGCAGUAGAAAUUGUCAACAAAGGAUAUAUGAGAGUGGCACUGUAGAUUUGUAGUCAAAAGCGGCAGAUGCUGACUGAUGUCGGCCGCAUAAGACAUCAAGCAUGACAUUACUGAAUUUUGCUGUUGAAUUUAUGGGUUUUUAUUACAAAACAAAACAAAAACUUUUGAUAAAACACCACCGACUCUGUUUAAAGGAAUCAUAAGGUUUCUGGAAGAGAAUUCAUCGUAUUAGGUUAUUCAAAUGGAGAAGAAUUACAUGCCUUUUUAUAGACUAUAUGAUCACCCAAUAUAUGGAGAUCAAUUCUUGAUUUGUGGAAAUCUUCCUUCCAACAGACUCUAAUAUGUUCUUCAUUUGAUCAUAGGAGUAGUUUAGAUGGUUUAAAAGUCUACUUCCAUUGCUUUGCCUGGAUGCUACGAUUCAUUUUAGAUUGAAACCCACAUCACAUGAUGCUAUUUUUUCUUUUUUAUCU